Long non-coding RNA from Phacochoerus africanus (Common warthog), 2951 nucleotides. RefSeq lists it as uncharacterized. The transcript is spliced from 3 exons. The record is from RefSeq and is a predicted model, not a curated record. NCBI's taxonomy places the organism in Eukaryota, Metazoa, Chordata, Mammalia, Artiodactyla, Suidae.
AGAACCCCGUGCAGCCAGACUUAGCAACCAGGGCGCUGCUGUCCGAGGGACCCAGGAAGCCAGUGAAGGCACGGCUGGGCUCCUCUGUGAUGGGCACGAAGACUCAGAACGUGAUUAAACUUUGUUCACGGGGACAAUCGAAGCUGGAGCUCCUCAAUGGAUGGUUUCAUCUCUUCUACCCCCUGUACAGCCUUGAAACUUGGAACAGUACGUGACUGAAGUGACUUGCUUGGGUGAGAAGGAUGAGCGUCCAGGACCAUGAAGCCCAGCGAUGGGCAACGGCACCAGGUGGAGGACCCCUGGAGGCUCCAGGCAGUCUGGGUUUGUCUUGCAGGUGCAUCUGCCCGUCUGGCCCUGGGACAGCUAAUCCCGCUGAAAUACACAGGUCCCUCCUUGCAGGAUGUGGCCGGACAAUAAGUGCUACGUUCACCUAGAUCACGGGAUGAUGCAGUCUGGACAAUUUCCAGUUGUUGCUUUCAGAUGAAGAACACAGGGCACAGAAGGGAUAAGGAUGCACCCAAGAUCACAAAACCAGCUGGUGGCAGCAUAGGAACAUAAGCCUAGAACACAAGUUUGUGAUUCAACGUCCUAGCCUGCAAGUCCUCACCUUCCAGAGGAAGCAUCAGUGAUGAGGGGACAGCAGUUCUGAGGCUUCUCUGUGCCUGGGUCUGACUUGCUCAGACCUCCCCAGCCACAUCGGAAUGGGGUCGGGCCUACCCUGACCAGGGAGGGGACAGGGUAUUUUGCUGCUUGGCUUGGCAUGUUUACCACCUGGCAAACUUGGAUUGAACUGGUCCUUCAUGAAUAAAAGCAUUGCUUUUCCUUCUAAAUCAAUUCCAUAAAAAUCCACCUAUUUAAGGAGAUUGGAGACCCUGUUUUCAAUCACUUUCACCCUUUGGGAGAAAACCCCCUCAAAUACCUCCAGUGGGAGUAAUUACUAGUUUUAGGAGUCCUGAUUUCACGUUGGCUACUGUCAACUGCGAAUGUCACUACUAAUUCCUGCUCUUGUUAAUAGGUGGGCUUUCUACCAUGGUCAUUGCCCUAUUAACAAAGAAGGAAGAAGAUUCUUCCUGUUAUUUUACCUGGGGCUAAUCAGAAGGGGGAGAGCACAGCAGAGAAGCUGAUACCAAAUCUCUCUAACAAAACAUAUGUGGAACAUGUCAGGACACACAGGCCCUGAAGUCAUGGGCUGGGGCCCGAGGCAUGAUUGAUGGUCUGAGAGUGGAUGCAGGAAGUGGCCAGAAGCCAUCUGGGAAGCCAGGCAGUUGCAGGAAUCGGACUGGGUACAAAGCAGCGAGGUGGACUUGGCUAGAGACGGGGACUGGCCACUGUGCCAAGCGGAAGUCAUGCCCGGUCUAAGAGGGGUGCCGUCUGCGGGUCCAGCUGGCUGGGUCUCAAUGAGGCUGCACCCAGUGUGGCCACAGCAAUUCCAAGCGGAAUCAGAAAGCCGCAACUUCAUGUGAAGCGUGCUGAUUUUUACAUGUCAUCAAUAAUUUCCUCAUUCAGGUCUACAUCAGAAAAUGUAUUUCACUAGGUCGAUAAUCAGCAUAAAUUGAAUGUCUCUGGCUUAUUUGUCUUCCAGAUGUUUUGUCAGAUUUGCUCAACACAAGCACGCACGUGUCUGGCUGCCUCCUGUGCAACGACUAGCAAGCACGCACCUGCACCGAGCAUGGACUCGAGGCCUUUCACAGAGACGCUCACAGCCUUCUCACCAGGUUUUGUCUGGUGAGAUGCGAUGAGACGCACGGAGGAGAUAUCCGACAGACCCUGGGCGUCCCCGAGCUCGACUCCGAGCUCCAGGUUCCUGCUGCCGGCUAUCUGACGCCUUCACUGGAGGCUUAAAGAGCAUCCCCGAUUCGACGUGACCCAUACGAGUCUUUUCAUUCUGAUCAGCAUCUCCCUCUACAAAUAAAGCCCACAGCCUGCAUCUAUCUUCCCAGUUUUGGCAAACGGCACCAAUGUUUAUCUAACUGCUUAUACCAAGCAUUUCGGAGUUAUCCCUGAUUCCCUCGUAUCUGUCACCAGCAAUUCGUCCUGUUUAAAAACACAGUAGGGACAAAGGUGUCUGUGGGAAAUGUAAUCCAUGGUCAAUGGUAUCUGACUUCCGCCCUAGUAGGUCUUGGAGGAUACUGGUGACGCGGGACAUGGCUCUUUGUGAAUAACAAAAGGACUAAUUUUAUAUACAAAGGCGGGGGAGGAAGUUAGAGCCAACUGUGGUCGGGUAGGGAGGGGGAGACCCCACAGCCCUUCCUUCUCAUCUUCUGCAUUAGCCAUCCUCAAAUGACAACGUCAGGGCCACCAUCAGGGUCCCCGGCAUUUUUCUCCUCUGGUUCCUAGACUCUGAGUCUCCUUGCCUUACUUUUGGCUGAAUUGUUACAACGUAAAAUGCAAAUACCGGGGUGUCCUGCACCGUCGUGAACAUGCACCUCUUUAUUCAACCACCUUGGCCGUUCAUCCUCUCAACAGUCAGGCAUGGGGCAGCUACAGUGCUGGGCACUCCUGCCACGGGGGUGAAAUCAGCUGUGACCUCCAAGACCAGACUGAAUGGGCAUCUGCGGCCGAGUGGGGAGUGGGAGGGGGCUCUGGUGGAGGGGUGCUGAAGGAGCAGUGGGAGCUGAGGGCAAUGAGAGUCUUUCCUGGUCAGCCCACGGGUUGUGAAGCACACAACCCAUUUCCCGGGGUGGGUUUCUUCUCACUGGUUGUUCGGAAGAAGGUUUGACCUCCAGGUGGUGUAUUUCGGUGGCUGCAAAACCCAAGCUACUUCCUUAUAAGGUGCCUCUUUAUUCUCAGGUUAAUAGGAAACAUUCUGUUGGAUGAAUCCAGCCAAAGAGAAUGCUACCUCCAGUGUGCAUAAAAGCAUAUUACUUGGUAUCUGUGUCCGCAAUGAGGCAUGACAUGGAUAUUUAGGUUCAAAGAGGGAGAAUUAUGUCACAUCGAGAAUGGGUUGUCAA